GGAAUAUUGCACAAUGGGGGAAACCCUGAUGCAGCAACGCCGCGUGGGUGAAGAAGUAUUUCGGUAUGUAAAGCCCUAUCAGCAGGGAAGAGAAUGACGGUACCGGACUAUGAAGCGCCGGCUAACUACGUGCUAGCAGCCGCAGUAAUACGUAGGGGGCAAGCGUUAUCCGGAUUUACUGGGUGUAAAUGGAGCGUAGACGGUUGUGCAAGUCUGAAGUGAAAGCCCGCGGCUCAACUGCGGAACGGCUUUGGAAACUGUGUAACUGGAGUGCUGGAGAGGUAAGCGGAAUUCCUGGUGUAGCGGUGAAAUGCGUAGAGAUCAGGAGGAACACCGGCGGCGAAGGCGGCUUACUGGACAGUAACUGACGUUGAGGCUCGAAAGCGUGGGGAGCAAA
Molecule: ribosomal RNA, 397 nt
Filed under: uncultured bacterium
Lineage: Bacteria
Description: bacterial SSU rRNA
Rfam family: Bacterial small subunit ribosomal RNA
Source: RNAcentral